Molecule: ribosomal RNA, 615 nt
Filed under: uncultured bacterium
Lineage: Bacteria
Description: bacterial SSU rRNA
Rfam family: Bacterial small subunit ribosomal RNA (bases 1-542)
Source: RNAcentral
CCUACGGGAGGCAGCAGUGGGGAAUUUUGGACAAUGGGCGCAAGCCUGAUCCAGCAAUGCCGCGUGCAGGAUGAAGGCCUUCGGGUUGUAAACUGCUUUUGUACGGAACGAAACGGUGAGCUCUAAUAAAGUUUGCUAAUGACGGUACCGUAAGAAUAAGCACCGGCUAACUACGUGCCAGCAGCCGCGGUAAUACGUAGGGUGCGAGCGUUAAUCGGAAUUACUGGGCGUAAAGCGUGCGCAGGCGGUUAUAUAAGACAGAUGUGAAAUCCCCGGGCUCAACCUGGGACCUGCAUUUGUGACUGUAUAGCUAGAGUACGGUAGAGGGGGAUGGAAUUCCGCGUGUAGCAGUGAAAUGCGUAGAUAUGCGGAGGAACACCGAUGGCGAAGGCAAUCCCCUGGACCUGUACUGACGCUCAUGCACGAAAGCGUGGGGAGCAAACAGGAUUAGAUACCCUGGUAGUCCACGCCCUAAACGAUGUCAACUGGUUGUUGGGUCUUCACUGACUCAGUAACGAAGCUAACGCGUGAAGUUGACCGCCUGGGGNGACGCGCGAGUAGUAAGUAAGUAGUAGUGCGNGNGAGAGNGACGACGACGACGACGGAGGGAGGAGG